GGCUUAAUUUUUGUUUAAGUCCCGCUAAUGGUUAAGGUACUCGGCUCAUAACCGAGGAUAUGCGGGUAUGUCCUUGCGGACACGCUCCGCGAACAAAUCCCGCCACUGCCA
This 111-nucleotide transfer RNA is filed under the name Rivularia sp. T60_A2020_040. RNAcentral describes it as "tRNA-Ile". The record is from RNAcentral. Lineage: Bacteria; Bacillati; Cyanobacteriota; Cyanophyceae; Nostocales; Rivulariaceae.